UGGAUAAGCUAUAAAGAGCACACGGAGGAUGCCUAGGCACCAGGAGCCGAAGAAGGACGUGGCGAACAACGAUAACGCCUCGGGGAGCCGUAAGCAGGCAUUGAUCCGGGGAUGUCCGAAUGGGGGAACCCGCGUGAGGUAAUACUCACGUACCAUGCAGUGAAUACAUAGCUGCAUAGGAGGCAUACGAGGGGAACUGAAACAUCUAAGUACCCUCAGGAAAAGAAAACAAAAGUGAUUCCGUCAGUAGCGGCGAGCGAAAGCGGAUUAGCCCAAACCAAGGAGCUUGCUCCUUGGGGUUGUAGGACGCCGUCGUGGGUGCAGCAGGUUAGGCGAACAGGUCUGGAAAGGCCGGCCAUAGAGGGUAAAAGCCCCGUAACCAAAAGUCUGCGAACACCCUAGGCGUAUCCUGAGUAGGGCGGGACACGUGAAACCCCGUCUGAAUCCGGCAGGACCAUCUGCCAAGGCUAAAUACUCCCUGGUGACCGAUAGUGAAGCAGUACCGUGAGGGAAAGGUGAAAAGAACCGCGGGAGCGGAGUGAAAAAGAACCUGAAACCGUGUGCUUACAAGAAGUCAGAGCCCGUUCAUGGGUGAUGGCGUGCCUUUUGUAGAAUGAACCGGCGAGUUACGUUUGCAAGCAAGGUUAAGGUGAGAAGCCGUAGCCGCAGCGAAAGCGAGUCUGAAUAGGGCGAAAUAGUUUGUAGGCGUAGACCCG
RNAcentral lists this ribosomal RNA (716 nucleotides) under Paenibacillus validus. RNAcentral's name for it is "partial 23S ribosomal RNA". It matches the Rfam family "Bacterial large subunit ribosomal RNA", at positions 1 to 717 of the family's 2925-position model. Lineage: Bacteria; Bacillati; Bacillota; Bacilli; Caryophanales; Paenibacillaceae. The record is from RNAcentral.